Cajanus cajan (pigeon pea) is the source of this 1221-nucleotide non-coding RNA. The record is from RefSeq and is a predicted model, not a curated record. Lineage: Eukaryota; Viridiplantae; Streptophyta; Magnoliopsida; Fabales; Fabaceae.
UUCGUCACAAAAAAGAGAGGGAUUUUAAACCCUAAUUUACAUAGAAGAGAGGCACUCUCAGAAAGCCAAAAUCGUCCCCUGAAAUUGAAGAGGUGCAGAGUACCGCGGUGCUACUUUUGUCUUUGUUUUCUCUCCAUUUCUAGUUUCCGAGAGGAAGUAGGGUUACGAUUUCUUGCUGGAAAUUGAGGUGGCUUUUUGUGUUUUCUAUUGUGAUUUCCUGGUACACUAUUGGAUUUCUUUUAUCAAAAGAAAUUAUUACGUAAGGUGGCAUGGAGACCCGAGGAUGAGGAAAAAGUAAAGAAAAUUUUUCACUUAAAAGCUUCUCACAGAUUGUCUGAUAUGUUUAAUGAAGCUCGGAAAGCAGGUAAAAGGCCACUUUGGGUUGGAGAAGAUGUGUGGAACAAUUGGUAGCCCAUUGGAAUUCAGCUGCUUUUCGAGUAAAGUCUACACAAGCCUCUCUAAAUCAACUGUCUGAAAAGGGUGGGACUCUUCAUACAGGUGGCUCAAUUACAGUUCAUGAUCAUGCCAAGCGCAUGGCAAAAGAAUUUGGUCGUUCAGUGCAUAUUGAUGAGGUCUUUCAACAGACCCAUAUACGAAAAGAUACUGGACAGUUUGUUGAUGAAAGAUCCAACAAAACAUAUAUUUUCUCAAUAAAUUUUCUCAAGCUAUGUCCGAGGCUGCAUCAUCUGUUGAUGAAUCACAUCCUAUGGACCCUGGUUUGGAGGAUACAAUUAGGUCUAAGUGUUGGUCUGAUGCAGUUGGUGGCAUGACCACUAAGGGGCGACUGUAUGGAGCUGGAGACCUUGCUCGUCAUUUAAAAGAUACACAAAGCAGUCGCGUCGACGUCAAUCUUAAAAGGAAAGCAUCUUGUAGCAGUUCACGUGAUUGGUCAAUUGAAACAAUGACUUGCAGAAAAUGAUGUGCUUAUUCGUUAGUUGCAACAGAUUCAAUCAGUUGUCAUGCAAUUCUUACCCACUGAAGCACAAACUGCCAUUCAAAAUAUUUGUCAACAACAAAAUACCAACUUAAAUAAAAAAAAGGGGGAACAACACCAAAACCAAAAAAAAGAAGAUGACCAAGACAAAAAUCAACAAGACUCUCCUAAUUAUGAAGAUUAUUAGCAUUAGAAAAAUAUUAAUUACUCUAUUUUAAUUAACUAUAUAUGAUGUUUGAAUUAUGAAUUAUUUUAUUAUUAUGAUAUAAACAUUACUAUUAUCUUUU